Molecule: ribosomal RNA, 253 nt
Filed under: uncultured bacterium
Lineage: Bacteria
Description: partial 16S ribosomal RNA
Rfam family: Bacterial small subunit ribosomal RNA
Source: RNAcentral
UACGUAGGGGGCAAGCGUUGUCCGGAUUUAUUGGGCGUAAAGAGCGUGUAGGCGGCCAGGUAGGUCCGCUGUGAAAACUCGAGGCUCAACCUCGAGAUGUCGGCGGAAACCAUCUGGCUAGAGUCCGGAAGAGGAGAGUGGAAUUCCUGGUGUAGCGGUGAAAUGCGCAGAUAUCAGGAGGAACGCCGGUGGCGAAGGCGGCAUCCUGGACCAACACUGACGCUGAUGAGCGAAAGCCAGGGGAGCAAACGGG